GUCGUCCAAGGAUAUUCUGGUAAUUUGUGGUUGUUUCUGGACUUCAGUCGUUUGCUCUUUUGAUCUACUCCAGCAUUUAGAAAUUGGUUAAUCGGUAAAGAUACAUGUACUUGAUGUCCUUCCCACGAAAGGGACCCAAGUCCUAGUAGCCCUGCUAAAUGGUGAUUCAACAUAGAUUCUACAUCUUGGAACCAAGCCAAUUUUGGAGCUGCUUUGUGAUAAUGGAACCAACCAGCAAAAAGCAUUAAGGCUGCGAAUACCAAUGCGCCAAUUGCGGUACAAUAAAGUUGUAAUUCACUAGUUAUUCCAGAUGCUCACCAAAGCUGAAAAAAACAAGAGGUUAUUUGUAUUCCUCGGAAGCCUCCGCCCACAUCUCCAUUCAGGAUUUCUUGGCCCACUAUUGGCCAAACCACCUGAGCACUAGGUCCAAUGUGAGUAGGAUCACUCAGCCAUGCUUCAUAAUUGGAAAAACGAGCACCGUGGAAAUACAUGCCACUCAGCCAAAGAAAGAUGAUAGAGAGUUGGCCAAAAUGGGCACUAAAUACUUUUCGAGAGAUUUCCUCCAAAUCACUGGUAUGACUAUCAAAAUCGUGAGCAUCAGCAUGUAGGUUCCAGAUCCAAGUGGUAGUAUCAGGUCCCUUAGCUAUUGUUCUUGACAAAUGACCGGGUUUAGCACAUUCCUCGAAAGAAGUUUUUAUGGGAUCCCUAUCUACCAAAAUUUUGACUUCUGGUUCCGGCAAACGAAUAAUCAUUGAGUCCUCCUCUUUCCGGACAACACAUACAAAGAAACCCGCCAACAGUCACUCAAAUAAUUAGUGAACCGAUGAUAGAUGCUUAGAAUUUUGUUCUCUUCUAUCUCCCAUCCAUUCAUCCAUUUUCUUUAGUUAUUCACUAGAGCAAUUAUGAUCUGGAAGUCGAUCUGGGGCAAGUGUUCGGAUCUAUUAUGACAUAUCCAUAGGGUGCUCAACGGACCCCCCCCCCCUUUUUUUUUUAUUAAAAAGCGUUUUCGCACCUUUACAUUAGUAUUGGUACACAAAUAAUUUUUUUUAUAACCUAAUCUAGUGUAUUCAUAUUUCAAUUAUAAGUUCCGAAAUAUAGCCUAUUUUUUAUGUUUUAAAUAGAGGAUAUUAUCCUAUUUCAAUAACCGCUUAUUAGUCAUUCUUAAGAAACAUUCUAGUAUUGAUAUUUAGUCAUUUUUAAAUCUCUUUUAUUCGUUUUAAUAGUCGAAAAGAAAAAAAUAGAAAAUGCUAGAUA
RNA transcript from Brassica rapa (field mustard), 1254 nucleotides. It is a transcript of the gene named photosystem II D2 protein-like, with no coding region annotated. The record is from RefSeq and is a predicted model, not a curated record. NCBI's taxonomy places the organism in Eukaryota, Viridiplantae, Streptophyta, Magnoliopsida, Brassicales, Brassicaceae.